AAUAGCCUAACGGCUGAACCAGCAACUUGGAGGAAUGUAUAGCGAAAGCUAGUUUUGACAUCGGUUUACCCGAAUAAAAUUCUAGGCAAAAUUAUGAUAAUGACAUUAUUUUUAUAUGUCUUGACCAAGUUACGUGCCAGCAGUCGCGGUAAUACGUAAGAGACUAGUGUUAUUCAUCUUUAUUAGGUUUAAAGGGUACCUAGACGGUAAAUCAAGCCUACUAAUUUAUAGAGUUAUAUAUGAGAGAGCUUUAAGGUACUGGUGUGGAGAGAUAAAAUUCUUUGAUACCUAUAGGCACGGAUUAAGGCGUAGGCAUCUCUUUAUGUGUUAACUGCGUUGAAGGACGAAGGA
Molecule: ribosomal RNA, 351 nt
Filed under: Byssoloma cf. subdiscordans Luecking 15060a
Lineage: Eukaryota; Fungi; Ascomycota; Lecanoromycetes; Lecanorales; Pilocarpaceae
Description: SSU rRNA
Rfam family: Bacterial small subunit ribosomal RNA
Source: RNAcentral